GCAUUUGCUAGAUAUUGUUUGCCGCCAUUCUGAAAAUCGUCACUGUAAGAGACUGUUGUGCAGAUGUUGCGUCGCACCUUAAAACAUUCUGAAUUCUUUUUGGCAGAUUUGAUUAUCCCACUUUUGAGAAAAUAAAAAAAAAUUUUAGUGGCACCGGCUGUGGGGAACGCUUUAACAAUUUUGAUAAAUUCGUCCUUCAGGUGACAGAAAAAGAUGUACCUCAAUACGUAACACCAUUCGAAGAAACCUGUCUGCGCCAUCCACUACUUCAAAGCAUUAAAAAUUCUGGCUACGUAAAACCAACACCUGUUAAGAAAGCUUCAGUUGCAGGUAUUCUUGCCAAAAGAGAUUUAAUGGGUUGUGCUGUCACGGGCUCUGGCAAAACAGUAAUCCAAUUAAUUAACGCUCAGUAAUUUUGAAACCACUACAAGGUCCAAUUGCAUCUAAGGUGGUGUACUUGGAACGGUUUUGAACAUUGUUAGAACAAGGUGUUGCUGCUGCGUCUCAUGCCAUGGAGCAAAAGCCAGAAGUUACCCACUCGUGAAUUGGCCAUUCUAAGUCACUGCUACACCAUGGCGACUGAUGUUCCUGCCCUUGGUUUAGGUUAUGCUUUAUGGGUUCUUCGUUCGUUUUUUACGUAUUUGAUGUUUGUAUUGUUUUUCCUAGAUACUGCUGGCGUCAACUAUGUCGUAAAUUAUGAUUUGCCAACUGAAAUUGAAGAGUAUGUUCAUCGUGUUGGUCGAACGGGCCGCGUGGGAAAUGUUGGAAAAUCAAUAAGGUUCUUUGACGAAGAAAGAGAUGGGCCUAACGCUGGAAAGUUUGUGUCUUUGUUAACUUGGUCCAACGCCGAUGUACCGCUAUUCAUGCAAGCGAUGUUUUAUUUAAUUAGUCUUUGCGAAAUGGAUUGGAAAGAGUGGACGACGGAAUAGUACAGCUGCCCAACUUCCGAAUGGUGCAAUAUGCAUCUAACGCUUCCAAUUCCGGAUUGUGUUGUCGCAACAGGAUGGUUGAGCACGUUUCUCAGCCAUUUUGCUUUGUGUUACUUAUCUGUCUUAGUAUUUGCUUUUCUUCGUAAAUGUGUGAAGUUAUUAGCUUUUAAGUUCUCGAAAAAAUUACACAGAGAUCAGUGUUGAGGGGGUGGGGCAGGGUAGUAUGAUGUAAAUAUGAAAAUAAUUUGUUCGGUAGAUUGGGGUAGGUGGUGCCAAUCAAACCGUAACUUGCGUGGUGGCAAUGUUUGAUUAGGGAGUUGGUUGAUUUAGUAAAGUUUCCAACUUUUGUAGGCUGAAGGUGAGGUAGGGUAGAUUCAAGGAUAACGAACGUUAACAUCAUUUACCCUGACGCAUCUACCACAUGUUUCUUUCUUGCAAUAGGUAAAUGUGUGUAAGUAUUGCGAAAUUUAAACGAAAAGAAACCAUACACCAUGUGCAGGUAAAAGUAUAAUUAAAUUAUAAUAAAAGCAGCUUAUGUUGAAAUCUAACCAAAUGUUGGUAAGUUAAAUACACUGACGUUGGUAGUUUUCCAUUCAUGUGUAUAAAAACGCAUAGUUCUAUUAUGUAACACUUAAAUAUGUAAAGCCAAUUUUAUUUAUUACCUUAUCUUUUCCAGGUUAGAUCCAAGCAUAAUAUAAGUGCUAUAAUUGCCCGAGCAACCCUUCAAACUUUCGUUUUGUAUUUAACCCUAAAAGCAUGUAUGACUACCAUUUUACUUAGGAUUGAAUUGAAUCAUCUUUAAAUGGACAACUUGA
Daphnia carinata is the source of this 1744-nucleotide long non-coding RNA. RefSeq lists it as uncharacterized. NCBI's taxonomy places the organism in Eukaryota, Metazoa, Arthropoda, Branchiopoda, Diplostraca, Daphniidae. The transcript has 5 exons. The record is from RefSeq and is a predicted model, not a curated record.